This 591-nucleotide ribosomal RNA is filed under the name Colimenopon urocolius. RNAcentral describes it as "bacterial SSU rRNA". It matches the Rfam family "Eukaryotic small subunit ribosomal RNA", at positions 24 to 578 of the family's 1831-position model. Lineage: Eukaryota; Metazoa; Arthropoda; Insecta; Psocodea; Menoponidae. The record is from RNAcentral.
UCAUAUGCUUGUCUCAAAGAUUAAGCCAUGCAAGUGUCAGUUCAUGCCAAACUAAGGUGAAACCGCGAAUGGCUCAUUAAAUCAGUUAUAGUUUACUUGAUGGCAUGACGUUACCGUUACUUGGAUAACUGUGGCAAUUCUAGAGCUAAUACAUGCACUCGAGUCCCGACCGUUCGCGCGGAAGGGAUGCUUUUAUUAGAUCAAAACCAAUCGGGAAAUCGGAACUCCGUUCCGACGUACCGUGCAGUCUUGGUGACUCUGGAUAAAUUGUCGCUGAUCGCAAGGUCAUAGCGCCUGCGACGCAUCAUUCAAAUGUCUGACUUAUCAACUAUCGACGGUAUGCCACGUGCCUACCGUGGUGGUAACGGGUAACGGGGAAUCAGGGUUCGAUUCCGGAGAGGGAGCCUGAGAAACAGCUACCACAUCCAAGGAAGGCAGCAGGCGCGCAAAUUACCCACUCCCGGCACGGGGAGGUAGUGACGAAAAAUAACGAUGCAGGACUCCGUUUUGAGGCUCUGCAAUCGGAAUGAGAAGACCCUAAAUCAUUUACCGAGUAUCCAUUGGAGGGCAAGUCUGGUGCCAGCAGCCGCG